Molecule: long non-coding RNA, 209 nt
Organism: Harpia harpyja (harpy eagle)
Lineage: Eukaryota; Metazoa; Chordata; Aves; Accipitriformes; Accipitridae
Exons: 3
Source: RefSeq, a predicted model, not a curated record
GUGCAGGCCGCCUUUGGAAUGGGAUGAGCGUUUGAGGUACCAUGAGUGAUGAUGGCCGCAGGGUCUGACUCUGGAAUGAGCAGGUGAUGAAGAGGAACCUGGCGACUGCCGGAUCAUCCCAGUUAGGCCGUGUGAUUUUUGGGGAGGAUGGAUUCGUACCCUUGGCCCUCUGAAAGUUAAGUUGAGGGACCCGGGCUGGGGAGAGGCUG